UACGAAGGGGGCUAGCGUUGCUCGGAAUCACUGGGCGUAAAGCGCACGUAGGCGGCUUUUUAAGUCAGGGGUGAAAUCCUGGAGCUCAACUCCAGAACUGCCUUUGAUACUGGCGAUCUCGAGUCCGGGAGAGGUGAGUGGAACUGCGAGUGUAGAGGUGAAAUUCGUAGAUAUUCGCAAGAACACCAGUGGCGAAGGCGGCUCACUGGCCCGGAACUGACGCUGAGGUGCGAAAGCGUGGGGAGCAAACAGG
RNAcentral lists this ribosomal RNA (253 nucleotides) under uncultured bacterium. Its description in RNAcentral is "partial 16S ribosomal RNA". It matches the Rfam family "Bacterial small subunit ribosomal RNA", at positions 524 to 776 of the family's 1533-position model. The record is from RNAcentral.